Molecule: ribosomal RNA, 497 nt
Filed under: uncultured bacterium
Lineage: Bacteria
Description: partial 16S ribosomal RNA
Rfam family: Bacterial small subunit ribosomal RNA
Source: RNAcentral
GAUGAACGCUGGCGGCGUGCCUAAUACAUGCAAGUCGAACGCAUAGCGAAAGGUGCUUGCACCUUUCAAGUGAGUGGCGAACGGGUGAGUAACACGUGGACAACCUGCCUCAAGGCUGGGGAUAACAUUUGGAAACAGAUGCUAAUACCGAAUAAAACUUAGUGUCGCAUGACACAAAGUUAAAAGGCGCUUCGGCGUCACCUAGAGAUGGAUCCGCGGUGCAUUAGUUAGUUGGUGGGGUAAAGGCCUACCAAGACAAUGAUGCAUAGCCGAGUUGAGAGACUGGUCGGGCACAUUGGGGAUGAGACACGGCCCCAACUCCGACGGGAGGCUGACGUAAGGAAUCUUCCACAAUGGGCGAAAGCCUGAUGGAGGAACGCCGCGUGUGUGAUGAAAGCUUUCGGGGCGGAAAGCACUGUUGUAUGGGAAGAACAGCUAGAAUAGGAAAUGAUUUUAGUUUGACGGUACCAUACCAGAAAGGGACGGCUAAAUACGUG